GACGAACGCUGGCGGCGUGCUUAACACAUGCAAGUCGAACGGAAAGGCCCUGCUUUUGUGGGGUGCUCGAGUGGCGAACGGGUGAGUAACACGUGAGUAACCUGCCCUUGACUUUGGGAUAACUUCAGGAAACUGGGGCUAAUACCGGAUAGGAGCUCCUGCUGCAUGGUGGGGGUUGGAAAGUUUCGGCGGUUGGGGAUGGACUCGCGGCUUAUCAGCUUGUUGGUGGGGUAGUGGCUUACCAAGGCUUUGACGGGUAGCCGGCCUGAGAGGGUGACCGGCCACAUUGGGACUGAGAUACGGACAAGACUCCUACGGGAGGCAGAAGUGGGGAAUAUUGCACAAUGGGCGGAAGCCUGAUGCAGCAACGCCGCGUGCGGGAUGACGGCCUUCGGGUUGUAAACCGCUUUCGCCUGUGACGAAGCGUGAGUGACGGUAAUGGGUAAAGAAGCACCGGCUAACUACGUG
RNAcentral lists this ribosomal RNA (468 nucleotides) under uncultured bacterium. RNAcentral describes it as "partial 16S ribosomal RNA". It matches the Rfam family "Bacterial small subunit ribosomal RNA", at positions 28 to 507 of the family's 1533-position model. The record is from RNAcentral.